UUUCCGUAGAUGAACCUGCGGAAGGAUCAUUACAGAGUUCAUGCCCUCACGGGUAGAUCUCCCACCCUUGAAUAUUUAUACCUUAGUUGCUUUGGCAGGCCGUGGAAACACCAUGGGCUCCGGCUUAUGCGUGCCUGCCAGAGGAAACAAACUCUGUUUUUAGUGAUGUCUGAGUACUAUAUAAUAGUUAAAACUUCCAACAACGGAUCUCUUGGUUCUG
This 220-nucleotide unclassified non-coding RNA is filed under the name plant metagenome. Its description in RNAcentral is "partial contains small subunit ribosomal RNA, internal transcribed spacer 1, and 5.8S ribosomal RNA". The record is from RNAcentral.